CCUACGGGAUGCAGCAGUGAGGAAUAUUGGUCAAUGGGCGCGAGCCUGAACCAGCCAAGUCGCGUGAGGGAUGACGGUCCUACGGAUUGUAAACCUCUUUUGCCGGGGAGCAAGCGUGCGUUCGUGAACGCGCGUCGAUAGUACCCGGAGAAAAAGCAUCGGCUAACUCCGGGCCAGCAGCCGCGGUAAUCCGGAGGAUGCGAGCGUUCUCCGGCUUUAUUGGGUUUAAAGGGUGCGUAGGCGGGAUUCCAAGUCAGCGGUAAAAAUGCGGGGCUCAACGCCGUCGAGCCGUUGAAACUGGCGGUCUGGAGUGGGAGAGAAGUAUGCGGAAUGCGCGGUGUAGCGGUGAAAUGCAUAGAUAUCACGCAGAACUCCGAUUGCGAAGGCAGCAUACCGGCGCCCGACUGACGCUGAGGCACGAAAGCGUGGGUAUCGAACAGGAUUAGAUACCCGUGUAGUC
RNAcentral lists this ribosomal RNA (460 nucleotides) under uncultured bacterium. Its description in RNAcentral is "partial 16S ribosomal RNA". It matches the Rfam family "Bacterial small subunit ribosomal RNA", at positions 338 to 795 of the family's 1533-position model. The record is from RNAcentral.